Long non-coding RNA from Juglans microcarpa x Juglans regia, 921 nucleotides. RefSeq lists it as uncharacterized. The record is from RefSeq and is a predicted model, not a curated record. Lineage: Eukaryota; Viridiplantae; Streptophyta; Magnoliopsida; Fagales; Juglandaceae. The transcript is spliced from 4 exons.
CCAUCUGAUGAGUCAGUCUAUUGAUGGUUAAUCUUCCUGUCAAGCUUUCAUAUCUCAUGAUAAAAUUAUUACAAAUGGACGAGUAUGAAGAUGCCAGUAUCUCCAUAUGAUAUACUACCUUUGUCUAUUGCAUAUUUGAGAAGCCAUAUUAAUAGCUAAGUUGUUGUCUAAGCUUUAGUUGAUAGUUUAUAUCAAAUUUUUUUUUUGGGCCUAAGGGAACUGUUGCAAAAGAGUGGAUAAGCGAAGGGAUUGUAGACAUGGCGCUUACGAGAGUUUUUUUUUUUUUUUCCAUUUCUUUUUUAAUUGGAAAAAAAAAGGUUUGUUUUUUUUCUAUUAAAAUUGACAAAAGAUAGAAUCCAAGUUCUGCUUUGGUCUAUUGAUGACACAAACCUCUGUCUACAUCAUAAGCUAUCAUUCCAUCUAUCAUGUUAAAUAUAUCCAUGCAAAUAAUAUUAUGUUAUUUUUGUUUAUGUGGACAUCAGGUGAGGGAGAAUAAGGAAACAUUGGAUGGGAAUGGUAGAUUAUUGUCACUGGCCCUUUUCUUUCUUUCACUUUUCCUUCUUAAGGUAUAUCUGAUUGAUCAAGAAUUCCUCACUAUUACUGAGUUUGAUUUGUCUAUUAAUCAUGUAGGUUAUCAUUGAUUCUAAAACAGGUUCCACAGAUGAUUUUGCUUGUGAAGUUGAGAUUACUGGAUGUAAGCCACUUCCAGAUGAACAUUUCUAUCUAGAGGUUGAAAGUAAACAAAGAUUUAGCAUAAUCUGAUCUUGGGAUCAAGAUGGCUAUUGUUUUGCAAAGGUUGAAUGGGUGCAGGAUAGCUACCCAGCUGAAGGAACAAGAGAAAGAGAAGAGGCAAGCUAAUUGCUAGUUUGGCUUCCCAUUUGUAUGUGUGCUGUAGACACCCCCUACCUCUCCAGAGAAGAA